GACGAACGCUGGCGGCGUGCUUAACACAUGCAAGUCGAACGGAAAGGCCCUGCUUUUGUGGGGUGCUCGAGUGGCGAACGGGUGAGUAACACGUGAGUAACCUGCCCUUGACUUUGGGAUAACUUCAGGAAACUGGGGCUAAUACCGGAUAGGAGCUCCUGCUGCAUGGUGGGGGUUGGAACGUUUCGGCGGUUGGGGAUGGACUCGCGGCUUAUCAGUUUGUUGGUGGGGUAGUGGCGUACCAAGGCUUUGACGGGUAGCCGGCCUGAGAGGGUGACAGGCCACAGUGGGACUGAGGUACGGGCCAGACUGCUACGGGAGGCAGCGGUGGGGAAUAGUGCACAAUGGGCGGAAGCCGUAUGCAGCAACGCCGCGUGCGGGAUGACGGCCGUCGGGGUGUAAACCGCUUUCGCCUGUGACGAAGCGUGAGUGACGGUAAUGGGUAAAGAAGCACCGGCUAACUACGUG
Molecule: ribosomal RNA, 468 nt
Filed under: uncultured bacterium
Lineage: Bacteria
Description: partial 16S ribosomal RNA
Rfam family: Bacterial small subunit ribosomal RNA
Source: RNAcentral